RNAcentral lists this ribosomal RNA (700 nucleotides) under Platysoma punctigerum. Its description in RNAcentral is "eukaryotic LSU rRNA". It matches the Rfam family "Eukaryotic large subunit ribosomal RNA", at positions 402 to 810 of the family's 3401-position model. The record is from RNAcentral. Lineage: Eukaryota; Metazoa; Arthropoda; Insecta; Coleoptera; Histeridae.
AAACCGUUCAGGGGUAAACCUGAGAAACCCGAAAGUUCGAAAGGAGAGAUUCACCGCGACUCGUUUCGUCGACGAGAACGUCGUACGGACGUCGGUCGUGCCUUUCGGGGUACGAUCGCGCCGAACGCGUUCCGUUACGGGCGUACGAUCGCGUGCACUUCUCUCCCUGUAGGACGUCGCGACCCGUUGGGCGUCGGUCUACGAUCGGCGGUGGAGUCCGCGAGGCGAUCGCCUUAAAAACGAUCUCGUCCUCUCGAACCCGCCUGUAUCCGGCCGACUCGCUCGACGGUAGUAAUCAAGGCUCGGGGCCGCGACCAGUUCGCGUUCGGCCCGUUGCAAGCUUCGUCCGGUUUUAAUUUGGUGUACUCGGCGGCCUCGCGUCGCCGGUCCCGAAUACGGAUCGACUGUUGGCAACGGUGUUCUCGGACAGACUCCGUAUACAAGCCUGUCAGCGACGCUAUCGCUUUGGGUACUUUCAGGACCCGUCUUGAAACACGGACCAAGGAGUCUAGCAUGCACGCAAGUCUUCGGGACUGUUUUAACUAAUCCUAAAGGCGUAAUGAAAGUGAAGGUCCGCCUUGGCGCGCGACCUAGGGAAGAUGGGAAGUCCCCGAUCCUUGUGGUCGGUGUACGACGACCCCGCAUUCCCGGGGCGUCUCGAUCUCAUCGCGAGAUGAGGCGCACCCAGAGCGUACACGCU